UACGGGGGGGGCAAGCGUUGUUCGGAAUUACUGGGCGUAAAGGGCUCGUAGGCGGCCAACUAAGUCGGAUGUGAAAUCCCCAGGCUCAACCUGGGAACUGCAUCCGAUACUGGAUGGCUUGAAUCCGGGAGAGGGAUGCAGAAUUCCAGGUGUAGCGGUGAAAUGCGUAGAUAUCUGGAGGAAUACCGGUGGCGAAGGCGGCAUCCUGGACCGGCAUUGACGCUGAUGAGCGAAAGCCAGGGGAGCAAACGGG
RNAcentral lists this ribosomal RNA (253 nucleotides) under uncultured bacterium. RNAcentral describes it as "partial 16S ribosomal RNA". It matches the Rfam family "Bacterial small subunit ribosomal RNA", at positions 524 to 776 of the family's 1533-position model. The record is from RNAcentral.